Molecule: long non-coding RNA, 267 nt
Filed under: Lathyrus oleraceus (garden pea)
Lineage: Eukaryota; Viridiplantae; Streptophyta; Magnoliopsida; Fabales; Fabaceae
Description: Pisum sativum (pea) long non-coding RNA (PSAT_LNC020911)
Source: RNAcentral
AACACUUCCUUACCUUGUUCAGAGUCAUGAUAAUGCAUUCAAACUGUGUUGAAAAGCUAAGUUUGGGGUAAAACCCCCAAAAGUUCCCAAAGCCCAAGAAAGUGCGAGAAAAAAAAGAAAAAAAAUGAUGAAUCGAGAGAAAGAAAGAAAAAAAAAGAGAAAAAUUUAUAACUCGAAGAUCAAAAAAGAAGCACGAAAAAGGGCAUUUGGUGAAGAAAAAAAUAAGAAAAGAAAACCGAGCAAAUAAAAGAAACAAACACAAUAUGU